AUAUUAAUAAUUUAGAAAUUUAACAUAAAUUAAAUAAAAAUAAUAAUUAAAUUUUAAAUGCAAUUAUUCAAACAAUUAUAACUAUAAAUUUAACUUUAUGAUUUUCAAAUUUAGGCUAUAUGCUUUUGAAAAUAUUCAUAAAUAACAUGCAUUAUAUAUAGAGAUUUUUGCAAAAUUGACCUAGAAUUCAAAGUCAAACACAAAACUAACUUCCUUUUGUUUUGGAAAUUGGUUUUGCCCUAUUCACCCCACAAGUUCAUAUAAUUCACGAAAAUGCCAUCAAAUUUUUUUUUUCUUUCCAAAAAUGACAUUUUUAUUCUCUCACCCUCAUCAUUUUCAAGUAAUUACAAGAUUGACAUUGUCAUCAAUACCCCAACCACCAUGAACAACCAAUUUGAAGCUCUUAAUGCACCUAAAAUCGAUUUACACUCUCUUUCUCACUUGUAAUGAACUAAAAACAACAUCUAUUUCACUUUGCCUCCAUAUUCAUCC
This 492-nucleotide long non-coding RNA is filed under the name Brassica napus (rape). Its description in RNAcentral is "long non-coding RNA (BNAP_LNC015395)". The record is from RNAcentral. Lineage: Eukaryota; Viridiplantae; Streptophyta; Magnoliopsida; Brassicales; Brassicaceae.